AGAUCAACUUUAAUGAUUAUCAAGCCGUGAUCGCCUUUGUAAAUAUUGAAAGAACACACUGGAAGUUGCUGUACUUAUUUCCUGCUAUAAGAUCAGUAUUUUUGGUGGAUCCAGCGGCAAAUUCCAAAGAGAAAGCAGACUCGGAAAAUGCUGCGAAAAGAGUACGGGAAUACUUCAAGAUGAGGAGGACCUGCUAUGGCAAGGAGGACUGGGGGACUGUGAAAUGGAGAGGAGCAACCAUGCACCAUCCAGUUCAACGUGAUGGCAGUAGCUGUGGGGUCAUUGUUACCAUAAUGGCAAGAGCAGUGAUGGAGGCCUUUCCUGCAUUACCAAUUAUGUCCUUUGGGACAUCCAAAAAGGAGAUGGCUUGUGAGAGGAGAAAGUUUGCACUUUCAAUACUCAAUGGUUCAGUGUUUCACAUGGAGAACAACUGUGCAAUGUGCUCUGCCUCAAAGCCCCCAGGAUCUGGGCCUUCCACUACAGAUUGGGUGAGUAUUUGUCGUAGUGUAGUUAUAAUAGGGC
Long non-coding RNA from Gymnodraco acuticeps, 522 nucleotides. RefSeq lists it as uncharacterized. The record is from RefSeq and is a predicted model, not a curated record. Lineage: Eukaryota; Metazoa; Chordata; Actinopteri; Perciformes; Bathydraconidae. The transcript has 5 exons.